UACAGAGGGUGCAAGCGUUAAUCGGAAUUACUGGGCGUAAAGCGUGCGUAGUCGGCUUUUUAAGUCGGGUGUGAAAUCCCCGGGCUCAACCUGGGAAUUGCAUUCGAUACUGGAUGGCUAGAGUUCGGCAGAGGGAAGCGGAAUUUCGGGUGUAGCGGUGAAAUGCGUAGAUAUCCGAAGGAACAUCAGUGGCGAAAGCGGCUUCCUGGACCAGAACUGACGAUCAGGCACGAAAGCGUGGGGAGCAAACAGG
RNAcentral lists this ribosomal RNA (253 nucleotides) under uncultured bacterium. RNAcentral describes it as "partial 16S ribosomal RNA". It matches the Rfam family "Bacterial small subunit ribosomal RNA", at positions 524 to 776 of the family's 1533-position model. The record is from RNAcentral.